CGAUGCAACGCGAAAAACCUUACCCACCUUUGACAUGGCAGGAACUUACCAGAGAUGGUUUGGUGCUCGAAAGAGAACCUGCACACAGGUGCUGCAUGGCUGUCGUCAGCUCGUGUCGUGAGAUGUUGGGUUAAGUCCCGCAACGAGCGCAACCCUUGCCAUUAGUUGCUACAUUCAGUUGAGCACUCUAAUGGGACUGCCGGUGACAAACCGGAGGAAGGUGGGGAUGACGUCAAGUCCUCAUGGCCCUUAUAGGUGGGGCUACACACGUCAUACAAUGGCUGGUACAAAGGGUUGCCAACCCGCGAGGGGGAGCUAAUCCCAUAAAGCCAGUCGUAGUCCGGAUCGCAGUCUGCAACUCGACUGCGUGAAGUCGGAAUCGCUAGUAAUCGUGGAUCAGAAUGUCACGGUGAAUACGUUCCCGGGUCUUGUACACACCGCCCGUCACACCAUGGGAGCGGGUCUCGCCAGAAGUAGGUAGCCUAACCGCAAGGAGGGCGCUUACCACGGCGGGGUUCGUGACUGGGGUGAAGUCGUAACAAGGUAGCCGUAUCGGAAGG
Molecule: ribosomal RNA, 560 nt
Filed under: uncultured bacterium
Lineage: Bacteria
Description: bacterial SSU rRNA
Rfam family: Bacterial small subunit ribosomal RNA
Source: RNAcentral